CGGGACGUGGCGCAGCUUGGUAGCGCACUUGACUGGGGGUCAAGGGGUCGUCGGUUCGAAUCCGGCCGUCCCGACCA
RNAcentral lists this transfer RNA (77 nucleotides) under Micromonospora chalcea. RNAcentral's name for it is "tRNA-Pro". It matches the Rfam family "tRNA". Rfam says of the family: Transfer RNA (tRNA) molecules are approximately 80 nucleotides in length. Their secondary structure includes four short double-helical elements and three loops (D, anti-codon, and T loops). The record is from RNAcentral. Lineage: Bacteria; Bacillati; Actinomycetota; Actinomycetes; Micromonosporales; Micromonosporaceae. RNAcentral also lists the same sequence under 5 other names.